AAAUAAAAUCUGUAUCCAUUGAAUCAUUAAACAAACUUUAAAUCGUAACACGGUAUGAAUUUCAGGUUUAAUCGGAGAAAACUUCAAAAAGGAACAUAUUGUAAUCAAAAACUGAGGGUCGUUCCCGAUAACUAAAACUACACUAGACCCAAUCAAACUUCAGGAAAUCCAUCACGGAGAUUGCAAGACUUCCAAACUGUUUUUCUUCCACACACGCAUUUGUUCGUAAACAUUUCAUGUCGAUAAUAGGGUUUAAAAAUAAAAUGCAACACCACACUGGUAAAAAAAAUAUUCUACUCAUAGGUAUAGGCUCGCCUAAAAAAAUAAUUUGUUUCUGAUAAAUCGAAUUCGAGUGCCAUUAAAAAUAUCUCAGUAACAAUAACUAAAGGGUCCUGCGUAGACUGGAACUAAAUGGAACCUUUUAAACAUAUAUUUGACCUUAAAUAAGAUUAGGGACUCCGCCUCCUUUGCUUUGAUCACCGGAUAUGGUCAAAGUUCAUAAAAUGGAUAUUCAAAUACUUUAUUAAAUUCAAUAUAACUACACUGUAUCAUAUUGAUCUAUAUUAAUAAUGAAUGUAAAUAAUACUAUAAAUAUUAUAACAAACCCAAAUAUAAACAAUUGAAAAUAUGUAUAUUUUAGGCGUCUCAUAACGGAGGUUAAGCUUAAAAUUAUAGAUCAUUAUAAUAUUAUUAAUCAUCUAUUAUCGGCGUAAGGAACACCUAAAUUUAUUAUUACUAUUAUUAUUAUUAUUUUUAUUAUAUUUGCAUACGGUUUUCUAAUAAACGAGUCAUUGGUCAAUUGGUUUAACCAUCGACAUUAAAUUAAUAAUCAUUAUUUUGCACCUAC
Molecule: non-coding RNA, 847 nt
Organism: Cinara cedri
Lineage: Eukaryota; Metazoa; Arthropoda; Insecta; Hemiptera; Aphididae
Source: the annotation of a GenBank genome assembly